Molecule: long non-coding RNA, 1130 nt
Organism: Tachyglossus aculeatus (Australian echidna)
Lineage: Eukaryota; Metazoa; Chordata; Mammalia; Monotremata; Tachyglossidae
Exons: 2
Source: RefSeq, a predicted model, not a curated record
AUGAACGGUUACAAGACACAUCAAACCUCCUCGGGUCUCGUCAAGGCUCUCACCUGAGCUUACUUGGGUUCACAUUUUGGAGACAGAUCCAAAAUCGGAAUUGAGGCAUCCAGGAAAAAAUGCUCGAGGCUGAGGGGGACUUGAAGGUGUCACGGAAGGAAGAGCUGCAGGUGCCAGGGCGGCCAUCCGGAUUUGGUGUUUUGUUUAAGAAAUGGGACUGGCCUCCUCGACUCCCGCUCCCCAGAACUUGCGCUCCAAUGGGUCUGCCCAGUGGCUCGUCCAGACGUGGCCACAGCGAGCCCCGGGGUGAGGGGGGACUGUGGAAGGUGUGUGUUUGUUGGGGGGUGGUCCCUCCCCAGCCCCAAGUUGCCCCUUUCCCACUCUCCCCAAGACACAUCCGUGGCUACGCCUUUGCAGGCGUGUUCCUUGCCCCUGGCAGCUUAGGGACAAAAUUUAGACCAGCACAGAGGAUGCAGAGGUGGCAAGAGUGGCGAGGGGGUGGGUGCUGUCAGGCUAGCUCCAGGGAUGCAUCUAGGAAAUCAGCUUCCCUCUAUCCCAUAGCAGCCCCCACCUAAAGCCAAUAAGAACAUUUACUGAGCACCUACUGUGUGUGGAGCUCUGUACAAACCACUUGUAGCCAAGCUCGGUAUUCUGUCUCUGGCAGUGGCUCAAAAGGGGCAUUUCAAAAUCUGUUCUGACUUUGAGGGGGACAUCAGAGCUGCAGCAAUCUGAACAGCUAUUUGGUGGUGAAGUGGUAAUGAGGAACAUGUGGAAGAGGGAUAAAGGGAAAAGAGUGGGAACCUCAGGAGUCUCGAGGAAUGAGAGUCUGAAAUCUACCUGUUAUUUAAAAGCGGGUUACUGAAACUAAAGAGGGACCUUUCUUUUCAUUUUUUUUCUCCAACAGCUGCCUCUUCUUAGCAACUGCUAAAGAAAAACGUAUUUGCUUGAGGUUUCUUGUGACCAAAAAGCACUAAAUAAAGUACUUUAAUAUAUUUUGGAGUUUGCGUAUGGCAAGAAAGAACAAGUCUCCCCAAUUUACUGGAAUACACAGUGCACUGUUACAAUGUCAAAUUUGUAGUCCAAGUGACUGAGAUCUGCUGAACCACUCAACAUAAAAGUUUCAAUUUGAA